AGGCGCCGCGCGGUCACGUGGAUAUCUGAAUUGCGCGUUAAUCACCUCAGCAAUUGAACACCGGUGUCAUUAGUUUGUGUAGUGGUCGUUAAUUGUACUUUGCAGUAGUGCAGGCAAAGGAAGCGUUAGACUCUCUAGCUUCCAUGGAGCUGAUUUUGCCGUGGGUACUGAGCGCUGGCAGCAGGGAGUGUGGUGCUGGAGGCCUGGUGUUCCCUGUCUGAUUUACUCCAUGGCGACGCCGGACAGCAGUAGGAGCGAGCCGAAAAAAAUCCUAUCCCACAAACGAAAUGUCGUCUAAAACCUCCAAUAUCUCACCCUGACUUCACUCAACGUGGCGGUGAGUAGCAGCGUCCGCCGCCUGUCACGGGACUGUCUACCUCCACUAAUGACCGACUUGGUGACGUCUGACGCCUCCAAGUCCCUGAUUUCUGUUACAGAAUACCACCACCACCUCCUCCUCCUCCUCCUCCUCCUCCUCCUCCUCCUCCUCCUACCUUGACAUUGCCACCUCAUCCCCUCGCGUGCUUUCCUCAGCCUCCGAUCAUCACAUCAUGACCUGCCGUGCCUGUCUUCCUGAACUCCUCCUCCUCCUCCUCCUACCUUGACAUUGCCACCUCACCCCCUCGCGUGCUUUCCUCAGCCUCCGCUCAUCACAUCAUGACCUGCCGUGCCUGUCUUCCUGAAUGGCAGCCGCGAUGUCUUCAUCUUCAACUUGCGCCUCAUUUCCUGCAAACUCGUACGUCUUCUUGAGCGGCAGGUUUGCAAGCGAGAUAAAAAGAAAAGGAAAAAAAGGACAAAAGGAAAAAUAAAGAAAAAGAAAAAAACGAAGAGAGAAAACGGACAGUAGGAAGCGAACUGAAAUGCUGAAACGAUAUCGAAUGAAAAUAAAUAAAUAAAUACUACUUUUCAAAGACGGAUAUUCAAGUGCAAGAUGAGCCUUGAAAUUUUCAUAUUACUAAACAAAUACUUAAAGAAUAAAAAAAAACUUUUGAUCAAUAAGGGCUUCAAUUGUAAACACCCAUUGAAAUCUUGCAAGGCCACAAAAAAAAAGGCUAAACACAAUGAAUCGGAUUAAAA
Long non-coding RNA from Scylla paramamosain (green mud crab), 1077 nucleotides. RefSeq lists it as uncharacterized. The record is from RefSeq and is a predicted model, not a curated record. The transcript has 3 exons. Lineage: Eukaryota; Metazoa; Arthropoda; Malacostraca; Decapoda; Portunidae.